UCCCAGCGGUCCAAGUCGCAACCACGUUUAUUGGGUCUAAAACAUCCGUAGCUUGCCGUAUAAGUCGUAUGUAAAAUCGGGCAUCUUAAGUGUCCGGCGGGCACACGAUACUGUUCGGCUAGAGACCGGGAGACGUAAGAAGUACGUACAGGGUAGCGGUAAAAUGCGUUGAUCCUGUGUGGACUAACGAUAGCGAAGGCAUCUUACGAGAACGGAUCUGACAGUGAGGGAUGAAGGCUAGGGGCGCAAAGUG
Molecule: ribosomal RNA, 253 nt
Filed under: uncultured archaeon
Lineage: Archaea
Description: partial 16S ribosomal RNA
Rfam family: Archaeal small subunit ribosomal RNA
Source: RNAcentral